Long non-coding RNA from Mya arenaria, 274 nucleotides. RefSeq lists it as uncharacterized. The transcript has 3 exons. NCBI's taxonomy places the organism in Eukaryota, Metazoa, Mollusca, Bivalvia, Myida, Myidae. The record is from RefSeq and is a predicted model, not a curated record.
GUAGCCACAGAGGUAUUUUCAAGGACAAGAACCAGUGCUGGUAAAACUGUGGUCUCUGUGGUUUUCCAUACCGGCUCUCGGCAAGGAUUUUCAAGAAAGGAAUACCAUCUCCAAAUCAUGAUGUGCCAAUAAGCUCCAGUUAGCUGCGGCCUUUUCCCCAGGCGGUAGUCCUGCAAUCUGAAUCCAGGAGAUGCAGCUCUGAAUCCAAUAUUUCAGAAGAAUGAAGAUGAAGCAGACCCAGGAGGAACUGUCUGUUGAAGGCCCCCCCCCCCCC